Molecule: non-coding RNA, 252 nt
Organism: Cyanistes caeruleus (blue tit)
Lineage: Eukaryota; Metazoa; Chordata; Aves; Passeriformes; Paridae
Source: RefSeq, a predicted model, not a curated record
UUGUGGAGGAGGUUUAAUUGCGAGUGGAGAUGAGGGGAAUGAGAGCAUUUGAGGAGAACGACUAUGCUCACCCCAAGAAGACUGUUAUGCAAACCACUGAAAAUGAAUGUCAAAUUGCUCAUCCAGCACUUCCUGUCUGAAUCUCAUCUUUCCAGGAUAUUGUCCAUCAUUCUUAGAAGCUUGAUGAGAUUGUGAAACUACCACAUAAGCAGUUUGAAGGACAAGCAUCUGAGAUGUAUGACCACAGAUAAG